GGGCAGGGUGAAUCAUCGAAUCUUUGAACGCACAUUGCGCCCGCCAGCAUUCUGGCGGGCAUGCCUGUCCGAGCGUCAUUUCAACCCUCAGGCUCCCGCGCCUGGCGUUGGGGAUCGGCCUUCACCGGCCGGCCCCGAAAUACAGUGGCGGCCCCGCCGUAGACCUCCUCUGCGUAGUAGCACACACCUCGCAGCCUGGGAGCGCGGCGGCGGCCACGCCGGAAAACCCCCGACUUCUGAAAGUUGACCUCGGAUCAGGUAGGAAUACCCGCUGAACUUAAGCAUAUCAAUAAGCGGAGG
This 300-nucleotide unclassified non-coding RNA is filed under the name uncultured Hypocreales. Its description in RNAcentral is "sequence contains 5.8S rRNA gene, ITS2". The stretch from base 1 to 78 matches the Rfam family "5.8S ribosomal RNA", at positions 77 to 154 of the family's 154-position model. Lineage: Eukaryota; Fungi; Ascomycota; Sordariomycetes; Hypocreales. The record is from RNAcentral.